ACGCACGCUGGCGGCGUGCUUCACCCAUGCAAGUCGAACGGAAAGGCCCUGCUUUUGUGGGGUGCUCGAGUGGCGAACGGGUGAGUAACACGUGAGUAACCUGCCCUUGACUUUGGGAUAACUUCAGGAAACUGGGGCUAAUACCGGAUAGGAGCUCCUGCUGCAUGGUGGGGGUUGGAAAGUUUCGGCGGUUGGGGAUGGACUCGUGGCUUAUCAGCUUGUUGGUGGGGUAGUGGCUUACCAAGGCUUUGACGGGUAGCCGGCCUGAGAGGGUGACCGGCCACAUUGGGACUGAGAUACGGCCCAGACUCCUACGGGAGGCAGCAGUGGGGAAUAUUGCACAAUGGGCGGAAGCCUGAUGCAGCAACGCCGCGUGCGGGAUGACGGCCUUCGGGUUGUAAACCGCUUUCGCCUGUGACGAAGCGUGAGUGACGGUAAUGGGUAAAGAAGCACCGGCUAACUACGUG
RNAcentral lists this ribosomal RNA (467 nucleotides) under uncultured bacterium. RNAcentral describes it as "partial 16S ribosomal RNA". It matches the Rfam family "Bacterial small subunit ribosomal RNA", at positions 29 to 507 of the family's 1533-position model. The record is from RNAcentral.